Molecule: transfer RNA, 76 nt
Filed under: gamma proteobacterium HdN1
Lineage: Bacteria; Pseudomonadati; Pseudomonadota; Gammaproteobacteria
Description: tRNA-His (GTG) (tRNA-His-GTG-1-1)
Rfam family: tRNA
About the family: Transfer RNA (tRNA) molecules are approximately 80 nucleotides in length. Their secondary structure includes four short double-helical elements and three loops (D, anti-codon, and T loops).
Source: RNAcentral
GUGAGCGUAGCUCAAUCGGUAGAGCCCCGGAUUGUGAUUCCGGUGGUCGUGGGUUCGAUUCCCAUCGCUCACCCCA